RNAcentral lists this ribosomal RNA (514 nucleotides) under uncultured bacterium. RNAcentral describes it as "bacterial SSU rRNA". It matches the Rfam family "Bacterial small subunit ribosomal RNA", at positions 375 to 879 of the family's 1533-position model. The record is from RNAcentral.
GGGAAACCCUGACGCAGCAACGCCGCGUGGGUGAUGAAGGCCUUCGGGUCGUAAAGCCCUGUCAGGUGGGAAGAAACUUGUGGAUGUUAAUACCAUCCGCACUUGACGGUACCACCGGAGGAAGCACCGGCUAACUCCGUGCCAGCAGCCGCGGUAAUACGGAGGGUGCAAGCGUUGUUCGGAAUUAUUGGGCGUAAAGCGCGUGUAGGUGGUCAGGUAAGUCAGAUGUGAAAGCCUUCUGCUUAACAGAAGAAGUGCAUUUGAAACUGCUUGGCUAGAGUACGGGAGAGGAGAGUGGAAUUCCCGGUGUAGAGGUGAAAUUCGUAGAUAUCGGGAGGAACACCAGUGGCGAAGGCGGCUCUCUGGUCCGAUACUGACGCUGAGACGCGAAAGCGUGGGGAGCAAACAGGAUUAGAUACCCUGGUAGUCCACGCCGUAAACGAUGGGCACUAGGUGUAGGAGGUAUUGACCCCUUCUGUGCCGAAGCUAACGCAUUAAGUGCCCCGCCUGGGGA